This 367-nucleotide unclassified non-coding RNA is filed under the name uncultured fungus. Its description in RNAcentral is "sequence contains ITS1". The stretch from base 1 to 105 matches the Rfam family "5.8S ribosomal RNA", at positions 50 to 154 of the family's 154-position model. Lineage: Eukaryota; Fungi. The record is from RNAcentral.
GAAAUGCGAUACGUAGUGUGAAUUGCAGAAUUCCGUGAACCAUCGAAUCUUUGAACGCAUAUUGCACUCGAGCCUUCGGGCAAGAGUAUGUCUGCCUCAGCAUCGGGUUAAUAUCACUCAACACAUCCCUAUGGUGUGCUGCAGUGGACCUGACUGUUCCAGCUCACUUGAUCUUUCGGGAUCAAUCAAGCUGGAUCAGUUGAAGAUCAGAGGUUAGCUCAAGGACCCGUUAAGGGCCGCAACUGGGUAGGCAGCUCACGCUUGCUAUUCUUAGUUGUUGGCUUGGGACCAUGAGCUCGACCCUCAAACAGGAAACCCAACUUAUUUUCUCGAUCUGAGCUCAGGCAAGAACACCCGCUGAACUUAA